GGGUUGUGAGGUUAAGCGACUAAGCGUACACGGUGGAUGCCCUGGCAGUCAGAGGCGAUGAAGGACGUGCUAAUCUGCGAAAAGCGCCGGCGAGGUGAUAUGAACCUUUGACCCGGCGAUGUCCGAAUGGGGAAACCCAGUGUGAUUCGUCACACUAUCGUUAACUGAAUACAUAGGUUAACGAGGCGAACCGGGGGAACUGAAACAUCUAAGUACCCCGAGGAAAAGAAAUCAACCGAGAUUCCCCCAGUAGCGGCGAGCGAACGGGGAGCAGCCCAGAGUCUGAAUCAGCUUGUGUGUUAGUGGAAGCGUCUGGAAAGUCGCACGGUACAGGGUGACAGUCCCGUACACGAAAGCACACAGGUUGUGAACUCGAAGAGUAGGGCGGGACACGUGGUAUCCUGUCUGAAUAUGGGGUGACCAUCCUCCAAGGCUAAAUACUCCUGACUGACCGAUAGUGAACCAGUACCGUGAGGGAAAGGCGAAAAGAACCCCGGCGAGGGGAGUGAAAAAGAACCUGAAACCGUGUACGUACAAGCAGUGGGAGCACCUUCGUGGUGUGACUGCGUACCUUUUGUAUAAUGGGUCAGCGACUUAUAUUCUGUAGCAAGGUUAACCGUAUAGGGGAGCCGAAGGGAAACCGAGUCUUAACUGGGCGUUAAGUUGCAGGGUAUAGACCCGAAACCCGGUGAUCUAGCCAUGGGCAGGUUGAAGGUUGGGUAACACUAACUGGAGGACCGAACCGACUAAUGUUGAAAAAUUAGCGGAUGACUUGUGGCUGGGGGUGAAAGGCCAAUCAAACCGGGAGAUAGCUGGUUCUCCCCGAAAGCUAUUUAGGUAGCGCCUCGUGAACUCAUCUUCGGGGGUAGAGCACUGUUUCGGCUAGGGGGCCAUCCCGGCUUACCAACCCGAUGCAAACUACGAAUACCGAAGAAUGUUAUCACGGGAGACACACGGCGGGUGCUAACGUCCGUCGUGAAGAGGGAAACAACCCAGACCGCCAGCUAAGGUCCCAAAGUCAUGGUUAAGUGGGAAACGAUGUGGGAAGGCACAGACAGCCAGGAUUUUGGCUUAGAAGCAGGCAUCAUUUAAAGAAAGCGUAAUAGCUCACUGG
Molecule: ribosomal RNA, 1114 nt
Filed under: Oceanidesulfovibrio indonesiensis
Lineage: Bacteria; Pseudomonadati; Thermodesulfobacteriota; Desulfovibrionia; Desulfovibrionales; Desulfovibrionaceae
Description: Desulfovibrio indonesiensis partial 23S ribosomal RNA
Rfam family: Bacterial large subunit ribosomal RNA
Source: RNAcentral